GAAGGGCCAUUUUCAUGCUUGUUGCGAGGUUCUUCCUUUGAAUUCCAGGCUUCCAGAAUUGAUGUUUCUGCAAUGGAGAGAACACUCGUGAACAUCCGAAUCGGUAGCCGUGCCCGCUGUACUCAGUCAAAAAACAAACGAACAAACUUCUCCGUUGCUAAAUGAUACUAGCUAUAAGGAGUUUGUGUUUUGUUAUCAUAUUGGAUGUAAUUUUCUGUUAUGUGCAACUGUGAACAUGAGUAUUCGGUAGUCAUUGAUACAAUAAGUCAUGCUACCGCACUUGCAUGCACACACCUCAUACAACCAAGUGUACAGACUACAAAAACAUGCCGAUUUCAAAAAUUGACACAAUUCUUUUGAACACCCAAUCCAAAUAUAAAUGAAAAUGACAGAUGUUAUAUAGUACAAGGUAUUGACAAUGGUCUCAUAAAUAGUCUGUCGGCAUUGCCGAUCAAAAAAUAUAUAUAGAUAAGCCUACACAGUGAGUUGUAUCUUGCAGCCCAAAUGCAGAGACUACACAAGGAUCUACUCUGGGAGUAUGUCCUCUCUCUUUUUUGUUACAAUUGACCAAAAAGCAAACCAGACCUAGAUAAGCCUCACCGUCGUGACUCCCAUGGAGUACACCGUGCCAAAAGGUCCCAAAGCUCAAUGGGAGGAGCUUCCAAGAACAGGACUCUUUCUCCCAUUUGAACACCAAAAUUACAAAGCUGGUCAACACAUCGAUCUCCUUCGUGAUUAAACGUGGUGGAUGGAGCAUUGAAACCCCUCAAAGAGAAAAUGUGUGUCAUUAAUCAAAGCCCUUUAUAGGAGCUCCACUCCGCAACCCCCUCGAGCAUCGCAUCCGCCGAGUCCGUAUCGAUUAGAACCUCCUUGAAUCCACAACCCCCUUGAGCAUUGCAGGGCGAACGUAAAAGAAUUGACCACUAGUGGAAAGUAAGAUUCUAAACAAAGAAUUUCAAGAUACAACUCGAAAUUCUUUACUAUCUCAAUCCAAACAAGAGUCUCUAAAUUCUUUACUAUCUCAAUCUAACCGUGUAUUUGAAAUCUAAUGUGGCAUGCCUAGUGGGGUAUAAAUGGGCAUCGCCUAAGGCUCCAACCAUGAUGUCAAAUAUCGAUAGCUUCACGCCAAAUGUUGGUAGCUUCAGGCCAAAUAUGGGAUCAAGGACAAUAAAUUUUUAAAAAAUAUAUAUGGGAAAAAUAUGCAUUUGAAGGUCAACAAAAUGAAGGUAAAAAAUUAUGAAUUUGGCAUACAUGGUUGGAGAGUGAAGAUUGUGGGAUGUCAAGCUGCUGUGGCAGCUUUCAAAAAAUUUUGGCCAAAUUCGAAGCCUUGGUUGGAGAUAAAUGGCACGCCAAGUAGGUAUAAAUGGCAUUGUCCACGGCUCCAACCAUGAUGCGAAAUAUCAACACCAAAUCCUACAUGAAAUGUGUGUAGCUUCAUGCCAAAUUUAGCACCAAUGUCAAAUAAUAAUAGCUCGGUGUACUUUUCACAUUUUUCAAUACAUUUUCACCCACUUUUAUACACUUCUAACAUAUUUCAAUACACUUUUAAACCUUAACAACAGCCGACUGAACUUUCUAUAGCAUUAACUUUUAACAUAACCAUCAUCACUACUCAUUUUAAUGUGUUAUAUAGACCGCAGAGUACCGAGGGUCCCCCAGCAUCACAAUUAUAGCCCGUAACAAGAGUUUUCAAUAUAGCAACUCUAAA
This is a long non-coding RNA of Rhododendron vialii, 1708 nucleotides long. RefSeq lists it as uncharacterized. The transcript is spliced from 2 exons. The record is from RefSeq and is a predicted model, not a curated record. NCBI's taxonomy places the organism in Eukaryota, Viridiplantae, Streptophyta, Magnoliopsida, Ericales, Ericaceae.